UGCGUAGGUGGUUUCUUAAGUCAGAGGUGAAAGGCUACGGCUCAACCGUAGUAAGCCUUUGAAACUGGGAAACUUGAGUGCAGGAGAGGAGAGUGGAAUUCCUAGUGUAGCGGUGAAAUGCGUAGAUAUUAGGAGGAACACCAGUUGCGAGGGCGGCUCUCUGGACUGUAACUGACACUGAGGCACGAAAGCGUGGGGAGCAAACA
RNAcentral lists this ribosomal RNA (206 nucleotides) under uncultured Romboutsia sp. Its description in RNAcentral is "partial 16S ribosomal RNA". It matches the Rfam family "Bacterial small subunit ribosomal RNA", at positions 568 to 774 of the family's 1533-position model. The record is from RNAcentral. Lineage: Bacteria; Bacillati; Bacillota; Clostridia; Peptostreptococcales; Peptostreptococcaceae.